Molecule: long non-coding RNA, 241 nt
Filed under: Elaeis guineensis (African oil palm)
Lineage: Eukaryota; Viridiplantae; Streptophyta; Magnoliopsida; Arecales; Arecaceae
Description: long non-coding RNA (EGUI_LNC075398)
Source: RNAcentral
CAUUAAUAAUAUAAUAUUUUAUUAAAAAGUAAGAAAUAUAUUUAUCACUAAAAUAAAUAUUUUAUAUAAUAAUAAAAUAUAUAUUAUUUUAAAUAAUUAUAUAAUAAAUAAAAAUAUUAUUUUAAAAUGAUAUAUUUACUAAAUAAAAAAAUAUAUAUUUAUUAAAUAAAAAAGUAUCCUAUGCAUCGUGUGAGUGAUAUGCUAGUAGUAAUAAUAAUAAUAAUACAACACGGCAUUGAAG